CAAUAGCGUAUAUUAAAGUUGUUGCAGUUAAAAAGCUCGUAGUUGGAUCUCGGGUCCAGGCUGGCGGUCCACCUCGCGGUGGUUACUGCCUGUCCUGACCUACCUCCCGGUUCUCUCUUGGUGCUCUUGACUGAGUGUCUCGAGUGGCCGGAACGUUUACUUUGAAAAAUUAGAGUGUUCAAAGCAGGCAAUUCGCCUGAAUAAUGGUGCAUGGAAUAAUGGAAUAGGACCUCGGUUCUAUUUUGUUGGUUUUCGGAACUCGAGGUAAUGAUUAAGAGGGACAGACGGGGACAUUCGUAUUACGGUGUUAGAGGUGAAAUUCUUGGAUCGCUGUAAGACGAACUACUGCGAAAGCAUUUGUCAAGAAUGUUUUCAUUAAUCAAGAACGAAAGUUAGAGGUUCGAAGAUGAUCAGAUACCAU
This 421-nucleotide ribosomal RNA is filed under the name uncultured eukaryote. RNAcentral's name for it is "SSU rRNA". It matches the Rfam family "Eukaryotic small subunit ribosomal RNA", at positions 592 to 1018 of the family's 1831-position model. The record is from RNAcentral.